UUGCCAGCCCGCUCAGAAACUUAAAGGAAUUGACGGGGGCCCGCACAAGCGGUGGAGCAUGUGGUUUAAUUCGAUGAUACGCGAGGAACCUUACCUGGGCUCAAAUGUAUGUUGACGUAUUCUGAAAGGGAUACUUCUUCGGACAAUAUACAAGGUGCUGCAUGGUUGUCGUCAGCUCGUGCCGUGAGGUGUCGGGUUAAGUCCCAUAACGAGCGCAACCCCUAUCAUUAGUUGCCAUCAGGUCAAGCUGGGGACUCUAAUGAAACUGCCUACGCAAGUAGUGAGGAAGGUGGGGAUGACGUCAAAUCAGCACGGCCCUUACGUCCAGGGCUACACACGUGCUACAAUGGCCGGUACAAAGGGCAGCUACCUGGUGACAGGAUGCUAAUCUCAAAAGCCGGUCUCAGUUCGGAUCGGAGUCUGCAACUCGACUGCGUGAAGUCGGAAUCGCUAGUAAUCGUGAAUCAGAAUGUCACGGUGAAUACGUUCCCGGGCCUU
RNAcentral lists this ribosomal RNA (498 nucleotides) under uncultured Sphingobacteriales bacterium. RNAcentral's name for it is "bacterial SSU rRNA". It matches the Rfam family "Bacterial small subunit ribosomal RNA", at positions 903 to 1382 of the family's 1533-position model. Lineage: Bacteria; Pseudomonadati; Bacteroidota; Sphingobacteriia; Sphingobacteriales. The record is from RNAcentral.